This 327-nucleotide ribosomal RNA is filed under the name Ascorhynchus castellioides. Its description in RNAcentral is "partial 12S ribosomal RNA". The record is from RNAcentral. Lineage: Eukaryota; Metazoa; Arthropoda; Pycnogonida; Pantopoda; Ammotheidae.
UAAUAGUUAUGGUCUUGAAACUUAAAGAACUUGGCGGUAAGUUAAUUUUUUUAGGGGAACUUGUUAUUUAAUUGAUAUUACACAAUUUAUCUUACUUAAUUUUUCUAUGUAUAUCGCCGUUUGAAAAAUUUUUAGAGAAUUAGUUUAAAUUUUUUAUAUAUAAUUAUUUUGUAUUAAAAUCAGGUCAAGGUGCAGGUAAUAAUUAAGGUUUAAAUGAGUUACUAUUUUAAGAAGUAUUUGGAUUUAGGGGUGAAAUCUUUUUUUGAAAUUGGACUUAAAAGUAAUUAAAAAUUAAAAAGUUUUUUUGGAUAAAACUCUAAUUUAUGU